This 66-nucleotide transfer RNA is filed under the name Glycera cf. tridactyla FS19. RNAcentral describes it as "tRNA-Asp". Lineage: Eukaryota; Metazoa; Annelida; Polychaeta; Phyllodocida; Glyceridae. The record is from RNAcentral.
GAGAGCCUAGUUAAUUUAUAACAUAAGCUUGUCAAGCUUAAAUUACCACUUGAUUGGUGGUUCUCU